RNAcentral lists this ribosomal RNA (445 nucleotides) under uncultured bacterium. RNAcentral's name for it is "partial 16S ribosomal RNA". It matches the Rfam family "Bacterial small subunit ribosomal RNA", at positions 354 to 796 of the family's 1533-position model. The record is from RNAcentral.
GUGAGGAAUAUUGGUCAAUGGACGAGAGUCUGAACCAGCCAAGUAGCGUGAAGGAAGACGGUUCUAUGAAUUGUAAACUUCUUUUGUGCAGGAAUAAAGUGGGUUACGUGUAACCUUUUGUAUGUACUGUACGAAUAAGGAUCGGCUAACUCCGUGCCAGCAGCCGCGGUAAUACGGAGGAUCCGAGCGUUAUCCGGAUUUAUUGGGUUUAAAGGGUGCGUAGGUGGAUUGAUAAGUCAGCGGUGAAAGUUUGCAGCUUAACUGUAAAAUUGCCGUUGAAACUGUCGGUCUUGAGUGCAAAUGAGGUAGGCGGAAUGUGUUGUGUAGCGGUGAAAUGCUUAGAUAUAACACAGAACUCCGAUUGCGAAGGCAGCUUACUGGGAUGCAACUGACACUGAUGCACGAAAGCGUGGGUAUCAAACAGGAUUAGAUACCCUUGUAGUCC